CAUUAAGAAGCUAUAGUAGCAUUAACCUUUUAAGUUAAAGAAGGGGACUUCCACUCCCCCUUAAUGA
RNAcentral lists this transfer RNA (67 nucleotides) under Petrosaltator rozeti (North African sengi). RNAcentral's name for it is "tRNA-Lys". Lineage: Eukaryota; Metazoa; Chordata; Mammalia; Macroscelidea; Macroscelididae. The record is from RNAcentral.